This 305-nucleotide ribosomal RNA is filed under the name uncultured bacterium. Its description in RNAcentral is "bacterial SSU rRNA". It matches the Rfam family "Bacterial small subunit ribosomal RNA", at positions 334 to 637 of the family's 1533-position model. The record is from RNAcentral.
ACCACCUACGGGGGGCAGCAGUGGGGAAUAUUGGGCAAUGGGCGCAAGCCUGACCCAGCAACGCCGCGUGAAGGAAGAAGGCGCCAGGCGUCGUAAACUUCUUUUGUCGGGGAACAAAGGGCGCCACGCGUGGCGUUGUGAGUGUACCCGAAGAAAAAGCAUCGGCUAACUCCGUGCCAGCAGCCGCGGUAAUACGGAGGAUGCGAGCGUUAUCCGGAUUUAUUGGGUUUAAAGGGUGCGUAGGCGGUCCGGAAAGUCAGCGGUAAACGCCCGGGGCUCAACCCCGGCGCGCCGUUGACACUGUC